This 619-nucleotide long non-coding RNA is filed under the name Phoenix dactylifera (date palm). RNAcentral describes it as "long non-coding RNA (PDAC_LNC006997)". Lineage: Eukaryota; Viridiplantae; Streptophyta; Magnoliopsida; Arecales; Arecaceae. The record is from RNAcentral.
GGUGGAAAAGAUGAUGGCAACAGGUUACAUGAUCGGUGGCUCUAAUACCAUUUUAAAAUAUUUGCAGAAGAAGUAAAAACUAAGAGACAAAAAGAGGAAGAAAAGUAAUUUUAUUUCUCUAUUCCAUCAUAUUCGGUACAUCUCAGGAGUUAUAUAUAUUCGUGUAUAGACUCCAUACGAGAAAAAUAAAAUAGGUUGAUAUAUAUAGAUCAGUUAAAAAAAAAUACUCGCUGAUAUAAGUCGUUAUGUGAUCCCAAAAAUUACUCUAACAAGAUCAUGCUAAUAAAGAAAAAAAUAUUGACCAAUACAGGAUCAUGCUAACAAAGAAAAAUAAUAUGAGAUGUUAUGUGAUCCCUAAAAUUAUUUUAAUAUCGAUAAUGAUUGCGGGUAUGGUCGAUGUCUAUGGCAGCGGUGUUACUACUUACCUACCAGACGACUGGCAAGGCAUUGUCGUCAAACAAAGGCUAUUACUUUGGGCAUGUUAGAUGUUGUCCUAAAUUGCUACAUCAAUUAUCUUUUUCAGAGGUGAUGGGUCCUUAAGCCGCUCCAUGCAGUGGACCCCACCAAGAGGAAUGAUUCUGUCGUGCCGCCAGCGGCGACAUUGGUUAUGAUGGUGGGG